GCUAGGCAUGGUGGCUCAUGCCUGUAAUCCUAGCAACUUGGGAGGCUGAGACAGGAGGAUCACAAGUUUGAGGACAGCCUCAGCAAUUUAGCAAGACUCUCAGCAACUUAAUGGAAUCGUGUCUCAA
This 127-nucleotide small RNA is filed under the name Marmota monax (woodchuck). The record is from RNAcentral. Lineage: Eukaryota; Metazoa; Chordata; Mammalia; Rodentia; Sciuridae.